CCGGAGGAAGGCGGGGAUGACGUCAAAUCAUCAUGCCCCUUAUGACCUGGGCUACACACGUACUACAAUGGCCGGUACAACGGGCCGCGAAGCCGCGAGGCGGAGCCAAUCCUAAAAAGCCGGUCUCAGUUCGGAUUGCAGGCUGCAACUCGCCUGCAUGAAGUCGGAAUUGCUAGUAAUCGCGGAUUAGCAUGCCGCGGUGAAUACGUUCCCGGGUCUUGUACACACCGCCCGUCACACCACGAGAGUUUACAACACCCGAAGUCGGUGGGGUAACCCGCAAGGGAGCCAGCCGCCGAAGGUGGGGUAGA
This 311-nucleotide ribosomal RNA is filed under the name uncultured Paenibacillus sp. Its description in RNAcentral is "bacterial SSU rRNA". It matches the Rfam family "Bacterial small subunit ribosomal RNA", at positions 1163 to 1471 of the family's 1533-position model. Lineage: Bacteria; Bacillati; Bacillota; Bacilli; Caryophanales; Paenibacillaceae. The record is from RNAcentral.